AAACAACUAGUUUUCCAGAGCUCUCACCAUUGAGAUGAUGCCUGCAACAUCUUCGACAUUCUACACAUGGGAGUUGGGUUCUAAUUCCCUCCCUUGAUCCGGGAUCGCCUUACUGACUCGCUUGGCCAGUAGCACGCAGUGGAAGUCAAUGUCUGGAACUUUCAAGACAUCUCCCUUCCAACUCUUGGCGCUUCUGCUAUCCAGAACCACAUCAGCUUCCUGAACAGACCAAUGUCCACCUGCACCUGGGCCUCUGCAUGUCUCUUUCCUCUGCCUCAAGAGUGGAUCCACACCUUCCUUCUUCUAAGUGUAAUUAAAGAGGCCCUUUGUGCCGCCUUCAGAUUUUUUUUUCUUGUCCCAACUUUUCCUGUGCUCUUGUCUCCGUGGAACUAUUCAUACAGGUCAGUAUCAUUUUCCUUCUAGAAAAUGAGUCCAUUGGAAAGCCUCCCGGUUAGCCAUAAAACUUGAGAUCCCAGGGAAAGAUGUGGUCUUUCUUGCUGGAGACUGACUCAGAGAUUAUUUUCAUGAAGCCAAGGAGUUUAAGCUCAGAGCCCCUCCCUUGUUUAAAUCCCCUCAAGGACCUGAGGGUAAGAACCCUAGUAUUGUGUCCUAGGGGCGAUAUAUUUUA
RNAcentral lists this long non-coding RNA (628 nucleotides) under Homo sapiens (human). RNAcentral's name for it is "HSALNT0301998". The record is from RNAcentral. Lineage: Eukaryota; Metazoa; Chordata; Mammalia; Primates; Hominidae.